RNAcentral lists this ribosomal RNA (253 nucleotides) under uncultured bacterium. Its description in RNAcentral is "partial 16S ribosomal RNA". It matches the Rfam family "Bacterial small subunit ribosomal RNA", at positions 524 to 776 of the family's 1533-position model. The record is from RNAcentral.
UACGUAGGGGGCAAGCGUUGUCCGGAUUUAUUGGGCGUAAAGAGCGUGUAGGCGGCCAGGUAGGUCUGCUGUGAAAACUCGAGGCUCAACCUCGAGAUGGCGGCGGAAACCACUUGGCUAGAGUCCGGAAGAGGAGAGUGGAAUUCCCGGUGUAGCGGUGAAAUGCGCAGAUAUCGGGAAGAACACCUAUGGCGAAGGCAGCUCUCUGGGACGGUACUGACGCUGAGACGCGAAAGCGUGGGGAGCGAACAGG